RNAcentral lists this ribosomal RNA (122 nucleotides) under Spirogyra maxima. Lineage: Eukaryota; Viridiplantae; Streptophyta; Zygnematophyceae; Spirogyrales; Spirogyraceae. The record is from RNAcentral.
AUGUUCUGGUGCCUUAGGCAUAGAGGAAACACGCCAAUCCAUCUCGAACUUGGCGGUGAAACUCUAUAGCGGCGAAAAUACUCCAGGGGGGGCCCUGUGGAAACAUAGCUCGGUGCCAGAUA